GAUGAACGCUGGCGGCGUGCCUAAUACAUGCAAGUCGAGCGAACGGACGAGAAGCUUGCUUCUCUGAUGUUAGCGGCGGACGGGUGAGUAACACGUGGAUAACCUACCUAUAAGACUGGGAUAACUUCGGGAAACCGGAGCUAAUACCGGAUAAUAUUUUGAACCGCAUGGUUCAAAAGUGAAAGACGGUCUUGCUGUCACUUAUAGAUGGAUCCGCGCUGCAUUAGCUAGUUGGUAAGGUAACGGCUUACCAAGGCAACGAUGCAUAGCCGACCUGAGAGGGUGAUCGGCCACACUGGAACAGAGACACGGUCCAGACUCCUACGGUAGGCAGCAGUAGGGAAUCUUCCGCAAUGGGCGAAAGCCUGACGGAGCAACGCCGCGUGAGUGAUGAAGGUCUUCGGAUCGUAAAACUCUGUUAUUAGGGAAGAACAUAUGUGUAAGUAACUAUGCACAUCUUGACGGUACCUAAUCAGAAAGCCACGGCUAACUACGUG
This 497-nucleotide ribosomal RNA is filed under the name uncultured bacterium. Its description in RNAcentral is "partial 16S ribosomal RNA". It matches the Rfam family "Bacterial small subunit ribosomal RNA", at positions 28 to 507 of the family's 1533-position model. The record is from RNAcentral.